UCCCUGGUUGUCCAGUGGUUAGGAUGUAGUACUUUCACUGCUGGGGCCCAGGUUCAAUUCCUGGUCAGGGAA
This is a non-coding RNA of Bos taurus (domestic cattle), 72 nucleotides long. Lineage: Eukaryota; Metazoa; Chordata; Mammalia; Artiodactyla; Bovidae. The record is from Rfam.